CCUACGGGAGGCAGCAGUGAGGAAUAUUGGUCAAUGGACGCAAGUCUGAACCAGCCAUGCCGCGUGCAGGAAGACGGCUCUAUGAGUUGUAAACUUCUUUUGUACGAGGGUAAACGCAGACACGCGUACCUGUAUGAAAGUAUCGUACGAAUAAGGAUCGGCUAACUCCGUGCCAGCAGCCGCGGUAAUACGGAGGAUUCAAGCGUUAUCCGGAUUUAUUGGGUUUAAAGGGUGCGUAGGCGGUUGGGUAAGUUAGAGGUGAAAUCCCGAGGCUCAACUUCGGAAUUGCCUAUGAUACUGGUCGGCUAGAGAGUAGUUGAGGUAGGCGGAAUGUGUGGUGUAGCGGUGAAAUGCUUAGAGAUCAUACAGAACACCGAUUGCGAAGGCAGCUUACCAAGCUACUUCUGACGUUGAGGCACGAAAGCGUGGGGAGCAAACAGGAUUAGAUACCCCUGUAGUC
RNAcentral lists this ribosomal RNA (460 nucleotides) under uncultured bacterium. RNAcentral's name for it is "partial 16S ribosomal RNA". It matches the Rfam family "Bacterial small subunit ribosomal RNA", at positions 338 to 795 of the family's 1533-position model. The record is from RNAcentral.